Molecule: unclassified non-coding RNA, 241 nt
Filed under: Hevea brasiliensis (rubber tree)
Lineage: Eukaryota; Viridiplantae; Streptophyta; Magnoliopsida; Malpighiales; Euphorbiaceae
Source: RNAcentral
CAAUUUCCCCUUGUCCAUUUUCGCAUUUCCCCGUGUCUGCAUUUCCGUUUCCGUUUCCGUGUUACAUACGUGCUAAGAUUCUACCAUAUGCUAAACAGACCAAUUGGUGGACAGUGCAUGACGGAUGAGGGAUGGCGACUACGUGCUUAGAGACGGGUUGAGACUGAAAGCUAGUGGGGAGACUCAAUUGAGAGACAAGUUAAAGAGAUUGAUAGCCAAUAGGGAAGGGAGGGGAGGGGAG